This 548-nucleotide small RNA is filed under the name Drosophila ananassae. RNAcentral's name for it is "GF27290". Lineage: Eukaryota; Metazoa; Arthropoda; Insecta; Diptera; Drosophilidae. The record is from RNAcentral.
CUUUUAUAUCUCUAUUUUAUUCUAGACAGUUUCACCUUUAACUCCUAUCUAUGGGAGUCGAAGCCGGACUGAAAGCAAAGCGGAUUGAAGGUGUUAAAUGGGCAUGAAACAGCUGCAAUGCGGAGGACGACGACAACGAAAAGGGACAACUGGAAGGACAACAACUCGCAGGACAAUCACCAAAUAAAUACAAACAACAUGGGCAUUGAGAGUUUUUCCGAAACCCCCCUCCGCUUUUUCCUCCCGAAAAAGCUCAAAGGACGAGCACCGAAAAUUCCCAAUUGUUAAUGCAUGUUGGUAUAGGGUCCCUGGCAUUGGGGAGAUCGAUCGGCAAUGUCGACGACUCCGGUCAUAUGUAAAUACCAAUUUACGCUACGGAAAUGUCAGCACAACAAUUACAACAGUCAUGGGGCAGACCCAUUGGACCUUUAACCCUUUGAGAGGCCGUUUUAACAGGAAUGCGAGGUGUGCAGCCUGCUCCCUGUUCACUGUUUGCUUUUAAUUUUGUUUCUAGGCAUAUUAAUUUCCACAUCGAUUGGGAAAAUACA